This 290-nucleotide non-coding RNA is filed under the name Papio anubis (olive baboon). Lineage: Eukaryota; Metazoa; Chordata; Mammalia; Primates; Cercopithecidae. The record is from RNAcentral.
GCAGGGCAUCUUGGCGGGCACCUGUAAUCCCAGCUACUCAGGAGGCUGAGGCAAGAGAAUCACUUGAACCCGGGAGGCAGAGGUUACAGUGAGCCGAGAUCGUGCCACUGCUCUCCAGCCUGGGUGACAGAGCGAGACUCCGUCUCAAAAAAAGAGAAAAAGAAGGGGUUUUUUUGUUUGUUUUUCUUGAGAUGGAGUUUCACUCUUGUUGCCCAGGCUGUAGUGCAAUGGCGCGAUCUCGGCUCACUGCAACCUCUGCCUCCCAGGUUCAAGUGAUUCUCCUGUCUCAG